Sarcophilus harrisii (Tasmanian devil) is the source of this 103-nucleotide small nuclear RNA. Lineage: Eukaryota; Metazoa; Chordata; Mammalia; Dasyuromorphia; Dasyuridae. The record is from Ensembl.
AUAAUGGCCAUAAUACAUAUAUUGCAAUUAGAACAAUAAAGAGAAGAAAACAUAAUUCCUGGGUAAUGAUGACAGACAAAUUUAUGAAAUGUUCAAUAUUUUU